This 455-nucleotide ribosomal RNA is filed under the name uncultured bacterium. RNAcentral's name for it is "bacterial SSU rRNA". It matches the Rfam family "Bacterial small subunit ribosomal RNA", at positions 28 to 507 of the family's 1533-position model. The record is from RNAcentral.
GGUGAACGCUGGCGGCGUGCCUAACACAUGCAAGUCGAGCGGUGCAGUUUGAAGCUUCGGUGGAAGGCUGCAUAGCGGCGGACGGGUGAGGAAAACGUAGGAACGUGCCCCUUGGAGUUGGAUAGCCACGGGAAACUGUGGGUAAACCGACAUAGACUCGAGAGAGUAAAGGCCGAAAGGCGCCAAGGGAGCGGCCUGCGGCCCAUCAGGUAGUUGGUAGUGUAAAGGACUACCAAGCCGACGACGGGUAGCCGGUCUGAGAGGAUGGCCGGCCACAAGGGCACUGAGAGACGGGCCCUACUCCUACGGGAGGCAGCAGUGGGGGAUUUUGGACAAUGGGCGAAAGCCUGAUCCAGCGACGCCGCGUGGAGGACGAAGCCCUUCGGGGUGUAAACUCCUUUUCUCAGGGAAAAAGGAUGAUGGUACCUGAGGAAUAAGCCCCGGCUAACUACGUG